CCUACGGGUGGCAUCAGUGGGGAAUAUUGGGCAAUGGGCGCAAGCCUGACCCAGCAACGCCGCGUGAAGGAAGACGGCUUUCGGGUUGUAAACUUCUUUUUUUAGGGACGUAGAAAGUGACGGUACCUGAGGAAUAAGCCACGGCUAACUACGUGCCAGGAGCCGCGGUAAUACGUAGGUGGCAAGCUUUAUCCGGAUUUAUUGGGUGUAAAGGGAGUGUAGGCGGGAGCGUAAGUCAGAUGUGAAAACUCAGGGCUCAACCCUGAUCCUGCAUUUGAAACUGUGUUUCUUGAGUGCAGGUGAGGCAAGCGGAAUUCCGUGUGUAGCGGUGAAAUGCGUAGAUAUACGGAAGAACACCAGUGGCGAAGGCAGAUUGCUAGACAGUAACUGACGCUGAGGCGCGAAAGCGUGGGGAGCAAACAGGAUUAGAUACCCUAGUAGUC
Molecule: ribosomal RNA, 443 nt
Filed under: uncultured bacterium
Lineage: Bacteria
Description: partial 16S ribosomal RNA
Rfam family: Bacterial small subunit ribosomal RNA
Source: RNAcentral